AAAGUAAACAACACCCCAAGUGUCCGGGAACAAAGGCAAGUUGUCUUUCUACGGUGCCGCAGCCGUGUGCCUCUUCUGAAGAAUAAGAGCUAUUAUUAUUCUUUAUGUCUUAUCCUUUUUUUUUUUUAAAAAAAAAACCAAGUUUCCUUCUAAGGGAAAUAAACACCAAAGGUAGGAUUCCAAGGAAAUGACUCACAGCGGCUGGCAGGGCUCUGGCGGGGCUGGCCCGGGCCCCCGCGCUCCAGCCCGCAGCAGAUGUCGGCCCGGCCUUCCCUCCCUCCCUUGCCGGCCAAACCCGCUGGAAGCCCGCGGUUGCGGGAGCGCCCUGCGCCCGUGGGACCUGGCGGCGAGGACGCCUAUUCCCUGCUUCUGCGACCACAGCUGGGCACUCGGAAAGUUGCUAGGGCCGAAGAGGCGGGAGGGGAGGAAGGGAAGCGAGAGGCGGAGGCGUGGACCAGGCGGGCAGCAGCCUCAGCCCGCCGAGGAGUGAUCCUCCGACUGUGAAAAACCAGACCUCUGGCUGCCUGGCUCCCUAGGAAUCAAGAAGACGCACAGACUGAAAAUCAAGGGAGGAAGGAACAAGAUCAAGGAUGAGGAUUAGCAUCUGCAAAUUGAACUCUAUCUAAUUUGCAUGUUUAUUUCUUAGAAUUGUAAUUAAAUUUGUGUAAUAAAUGUUUUCCAUUUCAUUUGUACACUUAAAACUUGGGUGACUGACAUGCAGUUAAGUGAAUUUCCUUUUUUUAAAAGCAAAUGUAGAUUAUUCAAUAAAGCAGCAAACCAAUAUUAAACAUAAUUAGAAC
This 800-nucleotide long non-coding RNA is filed under the name Homo sapiens (human). RNAcentral's name for it is "non-protein coding SERTAD4-AS1:1". Lineage: Eukaryota; Metazoa; Chordata; Mammalia; Primates; Hominidae. The record is from RNAcentral.